This 425-nucleotide ribosomal RNA is filed under the name uncultured bacterium. RNAcentral describes it as "partial 16S ribosomal RNA". It matches the Rfam family "Bacterial small subunit ribosomal RNA", at positions 354 to 796 of the family's 1533-position model. The record is from RNAcentral.
GUGGGGAAUAUUGGACAAUGGGCGCAAGCCUGAUCCAGCAAUUCCGCGUGAGCGAAGAAGGCCUUCGGGUUGUAAAGCUCUUUCGGCGGGGACGAUAAUGACGGUACCCGCAGAAGAAGCCCCGGCUAACUCCGUGCUAGCAGCCGCGGUAAUACGGAGGGGGCUAGCGUUGUUCGGAAUCACUGGGCGUAAAGCGCACGUAGGCGGCUACUCCAGUCCGAGGUGACAGCCCGGGGCUCAACACCGGAAUUGCCUUUGAAACUAGGUAGCUUGAACGUCGGAGAGGUAAGUAGAAGUCCGAGUGUAGAGGUGAAAUUCGUAGAUAUUCGGAAGAACACCAGUGGCGAAGGCGACUUACUGGACGACUGUUGACGCUGAGGUGCGAAAGCGUGGGGAGCAAACAGGAUUAGAAACCCCAGUAGUCC